This 263-nucleotide unclassified non-coding RNA is filed under the name plant metagenome. RNAcentral describes it as "partial contains small subunit ribosomal RNA, internal transcribed spacer 1, and 5.8S ribosomal RNA". The record is from RNAcentral.
UAUCCGUAGGUGAACCUGCGGAAGGAUCAUUAUUGUAUAACCGAGGUGCGAGGGCUGUCGCUGACCCGAAAGGUCGUGCACGCCCGAGUGCCCUCACACACAUCCAUCUCACCCCUAUGUGCACCACCGCGCGGGUCCCCCUUUGGCUUGUUCGGAGGGGGGCUUACGUUUUCACACAAACUUUGUAUGCAGUGUAGAAUGUAUUUUUUGUUUUUGCGAUCACGCAAUCAAUACAACUUUCAACAACGGAUCUCUUGGCUCUC